RNAcentral lists this ribosomal RNA (440 nucleotides) under uncultured bacterium. RNAcentral describes it as "partial 16S ribosomal RNA". It matches the Rfam family "Bacterial small subunit ribosomal RNA", at positions 338 to 795 of the family's 1533-position model. The record is from RNAcentral.
CCUACGGGGCGCUGCAGUGGGGAAUAUUGCACAAUGGGGGAAACCCUGAUGCAGCCACGCCGCGUGAGUGAAGAAGUAUUUCGGUAUGUUAAGCUCUAUCAGCAGGGAAGCGAAUGACGGUACCUGACUAAGACGCCCCGGCUAACUACGUGCCAGCAGCCGCGGUAAUAAGCGGGGGGCCAGCGUUAUCCGGAUUUACUGGGUGUAAAGGGGGGGUAGAGGGCUGGCCAAGUCGGGCGUGAAAGCCCGGGGGUUAACCCCGUACGGGCGUUGGAAACUGGUCGGCUGGAGUGAGCGAGAGGUAGGCGGAAUGCGUGGUGUAGCGGUGAAAUGCAUAGAUAUCAGGAGGAACACCGGUUGCGAAGGCAGCAUGCUGGCGAGUAACUGACGUUGAGGCUCGAAAGCGUGGGGAGCAAACAGGAUUAGAUACCCGAGUAGUC